This 125-nucleotide ribosomal RNA is filed under the name Metarhizium sp. RNAcentral describes it as "partial small subunit ribosomal RNA". It matches the Rfam family "Eukaryotic small subunit ribosomal RNA", at positions 1657 to 1779 of the family's 1831-position model. Lineage: Eukaryota; Fungi; Ascomycota; Sordariomycetes; Hypocreales; Clavicipitaceae. The record is from RNAcentral.
CCUUUGUACACACCGCCCGUCGCUACUACCGAUUGAAUGGCUUAGUGAGGUCUUCGGAUUGGCCCAGAGAGGUGGGCAACUACCACUCAGGGCCGGAAAGCUCUCCAAACUCGGUCAUUUAGAGG